Molecule: RNA transcript, 873 nt
Organism: Rhododendron vialii
Lineage: Eukaryota; Viridiplantae; Streptophyta; Magnoliopsida; Ericales; Ericaceae
Exons: 3
Source: RefSeq, a predicted model, not a curated record
ACCUCCAUUUAUUCCUCCUCCUCCCUCUCAACAAAACACUCAUCACAAGUCACAAAAUCUAUCAAACCAUCCGAUCUCUCCCAUGGCCUCACUUCCAGUUCUCCUUUCACCGCAAUUCACCCACACAAUUUUCUCUCUCCUCCUCCUCCUCUCUCUCCUCUCCCUCACUCAUCCCCUCUCCAUCCACGACCUCCUCAAGAGCCAGGGCCUCCCAGCCGGACUCUUCCCCAACAACGUCAAGUCAUACGAUUUAGACCCAUAUGGCAGGCUCAAAGUGUACAUGGACCGGCCCUGCACGGCCAAGUUUGAGACCAGGGUGUUUUUCGACAGCGUGGUACGGGCUAAUCUCAGCUACGGCAGUCUUACUGGGCUGGAGGGACUGUCUCAGGAAGAGCUGUUUCUUUGGUUACCGGUUAAGGACAUAAUCGUCUAUGACCGGGACUCGGGUUUGAUCUUGUUCGAUAUUGGGUAUGCUCACAAGGAGCUGUCUCUCUCCCUCUUUGAAGACCCUCCUGUUUGUCAGCCCCAAGGCGUCUUAUUGAAAGAUGGUGGCCGGAAGGAGUUGGCACUUCAAGUUCAGAGCUAAAAGAAGACAAAGCCUUCUUUCUGACAUGAUUUUGUUUUUUGUGCUUUCCCCCCCCCCCCCCCUCCGUGUUUCCUUGUGGAAAAGAACAAAAAGUGGAACAUUUAAGGGUUCUUAGAAGCUGAUAGGAUCGUAGUUUUGCUAAUGGAAAUGAAACAAACUUUGGAGUCCAUGAACUGAUUAUGUGAAGCCGAGUGUGUCUGAAUUAAUGAAGGUUUGUUGUAUAAAUUAAUUUGUCUAGAAAUGGGCUUUCACGUUUUGAAAUUUGGGUAAAGUCAUUUAGACGAUGA